GGAGGUAUAGCUCAAGUGGUAGAGCACAUGCUUAGCAUGCACGAGGUCCCAGAUUCAACCCCCAGCACCUCCU
This 73-nucleotide transfer RNA is filed under the name Camelus bactrianus (Bactrian camel). It matches the Rfam family "tRNA". From Rfam's summary of the family: Transfer RNA (tRNA) molecules are approximately 80 nucleotides in length. Their secondary structure includes four short double-helical elements and three loops (D, anti-codon, and T loops). The record is from Rfam by way of RNAcentral. Lineage: Eukaryota; Metazoa; Chordata; Mammalia; Artiodactyla; Camelidae. RNAcentral also lists the same sequence under 2 other names.